This 253-nucleotide ribosomal RNA is filed under the name uncultured bacterium. RNAcentral describes it as "partial 16S ribosomal RNA". It matches the Rfam family "Bacterial small subunit ribosomal RNA", at positions 524 to 776 of the family's 1533-position model. The record is from RNAcentral.
UACGGGGGGGGCAAGCGUUGUUCGGAAUUACUGGGCGUAAAGGGCUCGUAGGCGGCCAACUAAGUCAGACGUGAAAUCCCCCGGCUUAACCAGGGAACUGCGUCUGAUACUGGAUGGCUUGAGUUUGGGAGAGGGAUGCGGAAUUCCAGGUGUAGCGGUGAAAUGCGUAGAUAUCUGGAGGAACACCGGUGGCGAAGGCGACAUCCUGGACCAACACUGACGCUGAGGCACGAAAGCGUGGGGAGCAAACAGG